RNAcentral lists this ribosomal RNA (1377 nucleotides) under Staphylococcus aureus. RNAcentral's name for it is "partial 23S ribosomal RNA". It matches the Rfam family "Bacterial large subunit ribosomal RNA", at positions 1 to 1380 of the family's 2925-position model. The record is from RNAcentral. Lineage: Bacteria; Bacillati; Bacillota; Bacilli; Caryophanales; Staphylococcaceae.
GAUUAAGUUAUUAAGGGCGCACGGUGGAUGCCUUGGCACUAGAAGCCGAUGAAGGACGUUACUAACGACGAUAUGCUUUGGGGAGCUGUAAGUAAGCUUUGAUCCAGAGAUUUCCGAAUGGGGAAACCCAGCAUGAGUUAUGUCAUGUUAUCGAUAUGUGAAUACAUAGCAUAUCAGAAGGCACACCCGGAGAACUGAAACAUCUUAGUACCCGGAGGAAGAGAAAGAAAAUUCGAUUCCCUUAGUAGCGGCGAGCGAAACGGGAAGAGCCCAAACCAACAAGCUUGCUUGUUGGGGUUGUAGGACACUCUAUACGGAGUUACAAAGGACGACAUUAGACGAAUCAUCUGGAAAGAUGAAUCAAAGAAGGUAAUAAUCCUGUAGUCGAAAAUGUUGUCUCUCUUGAGUGGAUCCUGAGUACGACGGAGCACGUGAAAUUCCGUCGGAAUCUGGGAGGACCAUCUCCUAAGGCUAAAUACUCUCUAGUGACCGAUAGUGAACCAGUACCGUGAGGGAAAGGUGAAAAGCACCCCGGAAGGGGAGUGAAAUAGAACCUGAAACCGUGUGCUUACAAGUAGUCAGAGCCCGUUAAUGGGUGAUGGCGUGCCUUUUGUAGAAUGAACCGGCGAGUUACGAUUUGAUGCAAGGUUAAGCAGUAAAUGUGGAGCCGUAGCGAAAGCGAGUCUGAAUAGGGCGUUUAGUAUUUGGUCGUAGACCCGAAACCAGGUGAUCUACCCUUGGUCAGGUUGAAGUUCAGGUAACACUGAAUGGAGGACCGAACCGACUUACGUUGAAAAGUGAGCGGAUGAACUGAGGGUAGCGGAGAAAUUCCAAUCGAACCUGGAGAUAGCUGGUUCUCUCCGAAAUAGCUUUAGGGCUAGCCUCAAGUGAUGAUUAUUGGAGGUAGAGCACUGUUUGGACGAGGGGCCCCUCUCGGGUUACCGAAUUCAGACAAACUCCGAAUGCCAAUUAAUUUAACUUGGGAGUCAGAACAUGGGUGAUAAGGUCCGUGUUCGAAAGGGAAACAGCCCAGACCACCAGCUAAGGUCCCAAAAUAUAUGUUAAGUGGAAAAGGAUGUGGCGUUGCCCAGACAACUAGGAUGUUGGCUUAGAAGCAGCCAUCAUUUAAAGAGUGCGUAAUAGCUCACUAGUCGAGUGACACUGCGCCGAAAAUGUACCGGGGCUAAACAUAUUACCGAAGCUGUGGAUUGUCCUUUGGACAAUGGUAGGAGAGCGUUCUAAGGGCGUUGAAGCAUGAUCGUAAGGACAUGUGGAGCGCUUAGAAGUGAGAAUGCCGGUGUGAGUAGCGAAAGACGGGUGAGAAUCCCGUCCACCGAUUGACUAAGGUUUCCAGAGGAAGGCUCGUCCGCUCUGGGU